Molecule: long non-coding RNA, 2722 nt
Filed under: Mytilus galloprovincialis (Mediterranean mussel)
Lineage: Eukaryota; Metazoa; Mollusca; Bivalvia; Mytilida; Mytilidae
Source: RNAcentral
AGGUGGAUGGCAGACAUGAAGCCAGUGCUGAAAAUGGUAAAGAUUCUGAAUUUGAAUGUUGAGACCAACGUCUUAUACAUGUAUGUAAGAUUUGUAAGAACAAAAAAUGUUCUUAAAGUAUAUCCGUGUUUUUAUGAACUAGUUUUGAUCAGUACAUUGCAUUUAUUACAAGUAGAGAUAUAUAAAUAGAUUUAUGAUAUGCUACUGAAUUAGAACAAUGAGUGAUGCAUAACAAUACCUAAAUCUUAUUGCUACAAUAUUUGUCAAUGUCAAAUGUAUAUAAACUCAUCAUAGUAUGGUAUUCUAAAUAUAAGGUACUGAUAUGUAAUUUUUCAACAAGGAGUGUUUCAAAAAUCAGGGAUCUUGUGAAAACAAGGCUUUUGUUUAAUGCAAUGUAAAUAUUAAAGAAAAGAGGAAAAUUAAUGUAUUUUUGUCUGAAUAAUGACCUGUUAAAAUGCCCGCCCGAUAACAAGUAUUUUAAUCCGUGAAAUGUAUUUAUGGAUAGAUCACUUUAUAUGUGCAGUUAGCCAGAAAGGAACAAAUCUUAUUUAAUCAUUUUUGAUAUAGGAAAGCUAUAACAGUAUGAAACCGAAUAUUAGGGUAGCAAGUAAAAGAUAGUAAGCUUUAGCAGUUUUUUAAAGCUUAAUUCGUUACAUUAAACCAGAAAAUUUGUUAAAGGAAGUUCUCGAUUAUUUCAAUGAUUUUGUAAACUAAUCAGUCAGGGUUUUAAAGAUAUCUCUAAUAGACUGCGUGGUUAUGCAAAACUCGUAUUGUACAAAUUCACUGUACAUAGAGAGAUACAAAAUGUAUGAGUAAAUAUUUUAAAAGUUUAAAAUUUAGCUGAAGUUAACAACUUUUUGCAAUACUUUGCACUUUGGUAAUUUAACUAUAUGCAAAAUUGCAUUGUUAGCGCUUUCGUGUGUAUAAUUCCAGCCAGAACUUUUUGAAACUAAUAUGAUCUUGUAACAUAGGUUUGUAUUAGCAAUGUCUUUGACGAGCUCAAAAAUGAGUGCUGAAAAAUCAUUCUUAAGAGUUAAAUUCAACCCUUAGAAUGUUAAAUAUAGGCAUAUUGAACAUUGCAUUGUGAGCACCCAAAUGUGAACAUUUGUAUUAUAGGUUUAUAUUAACAGUUUCUUCGACGAGUUUGAAAAUCAGUGCCGAUCAAUUCUGGUUAAAAACGUUAUGCCCUUAAGUAAUAUUGUUACCUAGGAAAAUCACGUUGUUAGUGAUCUCAUGGGUACAAUUCUUGCAAGAUAGUUAUGCAAUCUAUAUUAUAGGUUUAUAUCCUCAAUGUCUUGAACAAAUUUAAAAAUCAUUGCUGAUAAAAAGAAAUAAUUGUCAUGCCCCUUGGGUAUAUAUAGAUUAUUACAUUUGUUUCUACUGUAAUGUGAACAAGUCGUGGAAAUAUAUACUAUAUAAUGGAAAUCAGAUUGAAUUCGCCCUAAAGCCUUCAUGUCUUUAAAAUAUUCAUGAAAUGUUGAAACAAAAACAAAAAUCUUCAGUAAUUGCACUCGUACCUGAAAAGAUAAAUAUUUGCAAUAUGGAGGGCAUUUUACUGCAUUUCUUUUUAUAAUACAAAAUAUAUUUUAUUAUCUAAUGUAUUUAAAAUCAAAUGUGUGCAAUUGCUAGGAUGUUACUUCAGCACUUGGUACCUUGUUUUUUCCUCGUCUGGAUUACUCAACAGAAACUCACAAACUGUCUUAAAAUGAAUGUAAUACAUGUACAUAUGCAGUUAUGAUCUUAGUUAAUGCAGUCUAGAUUAUUACAUAUCCAGUGUCAUUGGAAAUUUAGGCCAGUUUAAUUUUGAUGCUAUCUGCAUCAUUACAACACAUUUUUAUGUUUAUAGAUAUUUUUUUAUUUUUUGUAUAUUAAUUUUGUUAUUUAAAACAUGCACACAUAUUGUAAUGUUCAGUUCUCCCUAUUUUAUAUGUUUUAAUUUGAUAUUGUCUUUAUAAUCAUUAUCACUAAUAUUAGCCCUUUGCUGAAAUAUUGAAGCCAAUAUUUAAUUGAAAUAUUUUUUUUUACAAAAUCUAUUUAUAGAACAUGAAUGCAUUUGAAUCUUGUGCUUUGACUUGGACUUGUAUACUUGAAUUUAGUUUAAAUCAUCACUAUACAUAUUUUCUUUUCUAAACAUGAGCAAUUCGUGAAUACUGUUAAUUUUUAAAUCAUGAAUUUUUUACCCCUGUUCAUCCUCUUUCACAAUAGCUGAGGUAUAAAAAUGUGAAACAAUCUAGAUUUUUCUUUCAUAUUAUCAGAACCUUUAGAGUAUCUUUGUGAUAUUUAAGUUUGCAUACACAUAUUAUUUAUAAAGGCCAGUAAAUAGUACAUUUCAGCACAAUCCAAAGUAUGGUCAUUGUACAGUACUAGUGUUUCAUAAUAUUCACUGAGUGGGAAACCUGCAAUAAAAAUUGAGAAAUAUUUUAAUGAUCUUACCUGUUCAAAGUAACAAUUUUAUCAAUGUUGUCUGUUGUUUACUUAUACUUUAAUGUGUUAACGACAGUAUUUUUGUUUUAAACUAAUCUUUCUUUAUAAUAUUUCCAUUUGUAUAUACUUUUAUAAUGCUAUUGUUUUGUAGAUAUGUCAAAUUUCCAAAAGAUGUACAAUUUUGUACAUAGUACAUAGUACAUGGCACCUUAAAAAAAUGUUGUAUACUAUGCAGAAGUAGAAGCUUUGUAAUUUUACUAAUAUAAUUUAUUGUGCAAUAUCUUAAUAAAGAAUUUUU